CUGAGUUUCUUGGUUUCUCUCCCUCUCAAGGUAAUUUUUGGCUCUUUUUGUGAAUGGUGGAAGUUUAUUGUAAAGAAUUGUAAUUCUCCAAAUCAGUAUGCAGUCAAGUUUGCAGGUCUCCUGUGUUGGCACAUAUAGAAAGGAACACUGCUAUUUUUCAAGCCUAAGAUUUGAAUCCUAUUAUCACUAUUCAAAAAGCGAAGAAUGACAUUGCUGAGGUUUUGAAUUCAAUUCCUCCACAACAUCAUUCUCUGCUCUUGAAUUCAAAUCUUAUGAAUCAGGUUCAAAAGAAGUGGAUGGCCCUGGAUCUUGGAUGCUUGAAAGCUAAUAUGGACGCUUCUUUUGAUCCUGGUUCGGGCCAAGCCGGUUAUGGAGUGAUUGUCCGCAAUUUGCAGGGCCUGACAUUUUAAGUAAUGGUUGCUAUGAACUUGCCGCAUCAUUGGACAAGAUAGAGUGAUAUUCAAGUUGAAUUCUUGCUGCAUCACUGAUAAGGUUGCAAUGAACUUGCUGCAUCUCAGGCCAUAACAAGAAUGGCCUUUGGUGAUUGCAUGUAGCAACUGAUACUCCAUCCCAUAUUUUCUUGACACACCCAUCACUGUUAGCUGCCUGUCCAACAGAUGAAGUUAGAAGCUGAUAAUGAUAUCGAAUGGCUUGAACAUUUAUGGAGACUCUAAUAGGAGGCAAAAGCAAUAUAAGCUAAAUGGAUUACAAUUUAUGAAUCAACACAUCAAAAGUAUGUGCAUCAUUGCAGGCUUUAGGUAAUCAACAGCUUUUACCUCAGGGCCAUAUAUGUUCUGUUGUAAUAAGGAUGUAUUUAACAAAAUGCAGCCCAUAAAUGAUAAAUUGUCCUCUACAAAGCAAGUGCAAAUACAGUAAAAUAGCACACAAGAAAACAGGUAAAAUAUUGCCAAAAUAUCAAUACCAUCCCAAAGUUCUCUUAAGAAAUGAAAUUGAGAAAACUGCAUAACCAGCAGAGCCUUAUUAUAAAGAUUGAACAAUGACACACAUGGCUAAGAACAAUUUCACAAAAUGAACUUUGCCAAUGGCUGAGAAAUUACUAGACAAGAUUGCGCCAUCUAACAAAUUCUAAACAGUUCAAAAUAUCUGAUUCUACUGUAACAUAAUGCAGCUCAACUCUUCUAUUCUUCCCCAAUUCUAAAAAAUAAAUACCACGAACUUUGCCAAGGAUUCUAGAACAACAGCACAUCAUUGGUUUCCAAAAUGAAAAAGGGAAAUAAUCCAUGGUCCUGUUUUGUUUAAUAAUGCAAAGAAACAAAAGCAACAUUAAGAGAUGAUAGGAUCGCUUCAAAAUCCCAUGAUGUAUAGAAAACUGACCCUUUAUGACCACGCCUAA
RNAcentral lists this unclassified non-coding RNA (1354 nucleotides) under Hevea brasiliensis (rubber tree). Lineage: Eukaryota; Viridiplantae; Streptophyta; Magnoliopsida; Malpighiales; Euphorbiaceae. The record is from RNAcentral.